UUCGUGCUAUAUGAUGCCAAGGCUC
This 25-nucleotide non-coding RNA is filed under the name Mus musculus (house mouse). The record is from RNAcentral. Lineage: Eukaryota; Metazoa; Chordata; Mammalia; Rodentia; Muridae.